CUGUCUCUGCUGCUGGCGCUGCCUCUGGCCCUGUCCCUGUGCUACCUGGAGCCGAAAGCACUCGCGCGCUUCAGGUCAGCAGAGGUCACGGCUGAGGCGAGCUCUCCAGAGGAAAUGCAGUGUGACCCCGCCGCCUAAAAUGACCCCUGACCUCCCCGUUCCUGUCUCCAUGUCUGCCUGCCUCCUAAACACUACUGUGUGCAUUUUGUUGCUGUUUGCCUUUCACUUUAGCUCUUCCCUUCCAAUGCCAGAUUUUCAGUGUGAAAUGCAGAUUAGUCGCUGCGAUCUGAUUCUAGCUGUUUAAAUCGGCAACAUUCCAGUGGGACCCUAUUCAUAGUCCACAUCCUGACUGAAAAAAACUCUUUCCCCGCACUUCAGCUGAAGCGUUUAUUAUAUCAGACCUGAACCCGAAUUACUCGACCAGCUUUAAUCUUACACUAAACAGCAGAUUUAUACGCAUUUUGGAUAGAUUUCCCUCUUGAGCUUAUUAUAGUCCUUCAAGUAUUUUAUAAGAGUCUCAAACAGAAAAGCAUGAUCUCACUCAGACCAGCCUGUCCCAGAGCUCAGGGCUCGCUCCAUAUCACUUUGAUUGGGGAUUCAGGCCUUCCCAUCAUCCAUUUCACCUUUUCAGACUAUCUUGUCCAUUAUUCCACCAAUCAGAGUCCACAGGUGGAGGUCAUGGAGAAGCCAAACGCAGAUGCAGCCACAUCCAUCAGCUCUGAAACGGCCUUUGAGACGGAUGGCGCUGGCGCUCCUGAGAGAAAGGUCUUUCACUUUUGUUUGAGAUGCAAAUUGUUGUCUUUUUUAAUUUCAUGUUUUUGUCCAAUUGAAUGUUGAUGGGGUUCUUGCAUCAUGGUUGUUUGAUGAUGUGAAAUCUUUGCUUUCAUUGCUGUGGUGACGGUUGAUUGUUUUUAUUUGCUUUUGUGCUGGUUAUCCUGUGCUUUUUAACUGCAAAUGAGGCACAAAUCACGUGAGCUCUCUUGAGUAAUCAACUGCCUCCAGAUUUGAUGAUUGAUUGGCUAAGCAGUGCUAGAUUGAUGACUUGUGAUCAAAUGCUGAUUUGCCUGUUGGUUGGUUACUUCCAAGAACCCUGAUACAGAUCCGGAAAUCAGUAGUGUCAUAUAUGAACCGAACUGGAUCAGCCUAACGUCACAUCAGAAAGUCUGAGAGCACAUUAAGAAUAUGAGAUUCGAGAUUAAUUUAAAGCUGGAAGUUGCAACAUUUCACUCAAAUUGAUAUGCUGAUAAUAUAAUUUGCAAUGAAAAUAGUUUUAAAGGAUAAAAAUGCACAUUAGAAGCAUUUUCACCAUUGCUCUCAGACUUUUGGAGGCCUCUGUACAUGUGCUAUAAUCAUUUUCCAUUACGACAC
Molecule: long non-coding RNA, 1368 nt
Filed under: Sinocyclocheilus anshuiensis
Lineage: Eukaryota; Metazoa; Chordata; Actinopteri; Cypriniformes; Cyprinidae
Description: lncRNA (ENSSANG00000003899.1)
Source: RNAcentral